Anopheles funestus (African malaria mosquito) is the source of this 298-nucleotide long non-coding RNA. RefSeq lists it as uncharacterized. Lineage: Eukaryota; Metazoa; Arthropoda; Insecta; Diptera; Culicidae. The record is from RefSeq and is a predicted model, not a curated record. The transcript is spliced from 3 exons.
GGUGUCUUGGCUAAGGUGUCUUGGCUAAUGUGUCUUGGCUAUGGUGUCUUGGCUAAGGUGUCUUGGCUAAUGUGUCUUGGCUAUGGUGUCUUGGCUAAGGUGUCUUGGCUAAUGUGUCUUGGCUAUGGUGUCUUGGCUAAUGUGUCUUGGCUAAUGUGUCUUGGCUAAUGUGUCUUGGCUAAUGUGUCUUGGCUAAUGUGUCUUGGCUAAUGUGUCUUGGCUAAUGUGUCUUGGCUAAAUUGUCUUGGCUAAGGUGUCUUGGCUAAGGUGUCUUGGCUAAUGUGUCUUGGCUAAUGUG